This 4503-nucleotide long non-coding RNA is filed under the name Sus scrofa (pig). RNAcentral's name for it is "lncRNA (ENSSSCG00065023410.1)". Lineage: Eukaryota; Metazoa; Chordata; Mammalia; Artiodactyla; Suidae. The record is from RNAcentral.
CAAUCUCAAUAUGUAAUAAAAAUAAUUCUUGUCCUUGUAGUUUGAGCAACGUCAACAUUACGAUUAGACCAUUAAUGAUUUUGAGUCAGCUUCCAAGUUUUUAUAGUUUUAUUUUCCCUUUUCACAAAUGAUGCUCCUUCCUGUGGCUGCUCAGACUACUUCCCUUUAGGCGGUGCCCGAAGGUGAAGUCAGGUGGAAUGUGGUUACCAUUGGGGUGAUGGCAGGAGCACUGAGCUUGGUGCUGUUAAGGUUUGAGCUGUGAGUUACCCCACUUCGGAGCAGGUGACCUCAGGCAGCUACUUGACCAUAGAGAGCUGUGGGCUCUCCUUCCCUAAAGUGGCAGUGAUAAUACCUGCUCUGACAUUCUUCCCUGAGGCUUGUGGUGAGGCUCAAAUGAGAUACUACGCCAAAGUCUUUGUAAAGCAUAGAGCACCAUAAAUUGUAAAGUAGCAUGAGAGGCACUCUCUAGGAGUCAGUGUGCUGAAACCCUGGAGUGUAUUAUAGUCACAAGACUCAUGGGUUUAAGAUGUUCAUUUCUAGGUCCUGCUCCCAGGGAGAGUCUAGUUUAGUAGAUUCUGGGUGGAGCUUAGAGAUCUGCCUUUUAUCCCCCGACACCAUCACUGUCUCCCUUGCCCUGCCGAGUGAUUUCUGUAUGAAUGGUCCAGGGAUGACAUUUAGAGAAAUACCUAAUGUAAGGGUCAAAUAAAACACUUCAGAAGAACUUCAGAAAUGGCCCUUUGGAAGCAUAAGGUAGGUCCCAUAUUUGGAUUAUCACAUAGCUAAUUACUUUAAGUGAUAAGCUUAAAUAAGCUCAUGAACUGAUGGUCUCUUGGAAGAUAUUAUUCAAAUGAGUUCACUACAGAAAAAAACCUGUUUAUUAUAGAAUUGCUCUUAGAGGUGGUUGAAAAUCAUAGAAAAGGUCUUGGUUUUUCCAGGAUACCUCAGCGCCCUCUCAUCCUAUUUUGGGCCAGUGUUUCUGGCUUCAUUCCUUCUCUGACGUGUUUUCUGUACUGAAUGAAUGUCUUCCUUUCCAUUUUGGGGAGAAUAAUAGAGUCCUGUCAUUUUAACAAGGCUGUGUACCAAGCCAUGUGGGCAUGCCACAGACCAGAUGGCUGAGGCUGAAACAAAGCUUCAAAGAUUCUGGCAACCACGGGUGCAUCCAGGAUGGAAAGUAAUAGAGCUGUGGUCUCUUAACAGCCACAAACGAAAUGAUAGGGAUUUUGUCAUCCAGAAUAGAUUGCAUAGGGCUCGCCCUGGGCUAAAUUAUUAAGUCAUUGAAAUUGACUUUGAUGUUUCUCCACCAUCUCCACUUCCUGAUCACUCUUUUUAUCCCUAUCCUGGCCAGGGACUCAGGACCCCCAUUUCGAGAUCCCACCCUGCCCUCUCUGAUGUGCCCAGAACCUGGGAACUUUUUCUUUCCUAUGACAACAUCCCAAUUGUCCACUUGGCUGAGUGUCCCUGGUAUAAGAGGAGGUAGUGGUGGUGCUGGGGGUUGGGGGAUGGGCUUUUCAUUAAUCGGUAUAUUUGUGUUGAAGUUUAAUGUGUCACUCCCCCUAAGGUACUGAGGACUUUUCGGAAAUAUAUUUUAAUCUAGAACUUCUGGGAAUUCAGGAAGCAUCAGAGGAGGAGUGGGGGGUGAAAGAGAAGUUCUCAGGGAGCUGCCUUCCCCAAGCCGCGAUGGUGUCCAAGCACCCUGGGAGAGGUUAGGACUGACAAGCCAUGCACACUUCCAAGGGAUUAAUCUGGGAACUCCAUGGAUCCACUGUUUGGACUCCCUCUAGCCAACCAGCCUCUAUUUCCUGAAAUAGAGGAGCUGCAUAUUUCAUUGACUCCUGUUAGCAAUCACACAAAGAAGAUGUUAUGCUUCCCCUUACGCAGUGGACCACUGGGUCCCUUCAAGGACAGUACGGACUGUGAAGGUUAAAUUCAUCAGAGCCAAGAAUUGACUGUACUGACCCUAAGUCAUUAUGCUAUCCUGAAUUUUGAAAGAAAAAAAUACCCCGCCUCUGGUGGUGGACCCUGAUUUGUUCAAGUCAAUUAGUGUAAGCCCAACUCCCUUGCCGUAGUGAUUGGUUUUAUCAGAACUAAGUCAAUCAGUUUAUGGCAUUUCUCUGGCUGCAUCUGACCUAAUUAAGGGCAGUGAAAAGCUAGAAGAUAUCAGAGGGUUUCUGGGAAAGGAACUUCAUUGUUUUUAUGGGGAUGCAUUUGGAUGUCACUGUUUCUCUCUGAAAAUUGAUAAGGAAGCAUAUAUCCAUCUUUUGUUAGCGGUGAUCUUGCCCCAUAAAGGAGAGCCAGCCACAGGAUGAAACUGACAGCGAAGGUAAAACAAAGACCUAGAGCAAAACUGAUUCUUUGAUAGCAUCAUGGAGCUGUUGAGUCAAAUGAACAGUGAGCCCACCCUACCUCUGAACUUCUAGCUAUGGGAAUAUAUGAGUUAGGAUUAGGUUCAAUUGCAAGUAACUGAAAACCCCAGUAACAGUGGCAUAAACAAGUUAAAGGGCUCUUUCGCUCCCCUGCCCCCAAGGUUAAAAAAAAAAGUCUAAGCAGGUAGUUCAGGGAUAAUAUACCUUCCAACCAGUGGCUUUGCUAUCUUAACACAUAAUGUAUUCCCCUGUAGUCCAAGAUGGCUGCUCCAGCUACUGCCAUCACAUCUGAGUCCAUCAGCAAGAAGGAGAAAAGGGAAAGUCACUUCCCAGAGGACACACCUAACAUUGUAUAUGUCAGACUUAGUUAUAUGGCCACACCUAGCUUGGGUUUGGCUGAGAAAUGUUUUUAUUCCAGGAGGGCGUAUGCCUGGCUGAAAAUUGGGAACUCUUCUGGUAAGGGGUAGAUAUUAGGAGGUAACUAGCCUUCUCAGCCCCUGUGUGUCUUCCUUAUUGUUUAAGGCAGUUUGAAUCGGGUUUCCUAUUAUGCACAAUCAGACACAUACUAAUUCACACCACCCCAUCCCCCCCAAUAACCUUCUAUCUUCAAUCACAUGCUGAUGGAUAAAAAUAAGAAGCCCUUCACUAGAGCAUCCCAAGGUCUUUCCUUGUUUUUCUCCUCAGGCUUGGGACAGCACCUGGCACAUAGAGACACUUGAUAAAUAUUUGCUGAAUUGAACAAAAUUAACUAAGAAGAUUCAAACAGAGAGAGUUCAAUAGAAUCUUGGCAUGGUGGCUUGUCAGCGCUGGCCUUGGGCAAGCCAUAAAAGCUUCUGAGCCUCAACUUCUCUGCCUAUAAAUGAGAGAAGUAAUACCUACCUUCAAAUAUUGUUAUACAUAUUAGUGACAAUGUAUGUAAAGGGCUUAGCAUAAUUCCUAGCAGAUACUGUACCCAAAUGGUGGAUACAGUGUACAGAUUUUUAAAAAAUUAUUAUUAUGUACAUUGUACAUUUCAAAGGAACCCUAAAGUUGAGAAAAGACAUAUUUGGGGAGUGUUUCACACACCCACAAACUCUUCUGGCCAUUUUUCACUCUUAUUCUUGGGAAAAUAUGCCUGCUGGGUUCAAAAGGAAAGAAUAUUUUGAAGAGAUUUUUCAUUAACAUUCUGAAGCCUUCUUAGAUAUCAAAUAGUUAUUUAGUGGGUAAAGUGUGAAUGAAUCAGAACGUAUGUAUUGAAUUUAUCUUGGAACCCUACGUGUGUCAAACCUAACUACAAAAUGUGCUUUGCAUUCUCUUGCUGUCCAAAGGCUGGAAAAACAGCAGGACAUUCUGCUGAACUCAUAAUGACCUUGAACUCAGCAAACAGACCAAAUUGAUGGAAGAACCCUGAGCCACUUGUCAGGGUCUUUACCAUAUCAAGGGAUACACGACCCACUGUGAUGUGAUUCGGGAUCGGCUGUGUUUGUUUUCCUUGGUUUGACUUGGCAACCUGGGAAAAACAGAAUCACCCUCUCUGGCCUCCGUCAAGGUCUGGAAACAAAGAUAGAAUGUUACUCCUGCGAAGAUGGCUUCUUAGAAGCCAUGGGGUUUCACAGAUGCGGAAAGAAUUCGAGGUUAGCUUUUAAGUCAAAGCAUAAAUAAAGCUUUUUAGUAAGAGGAGCUGAAGGCAAGGCGGAAGGCGGUGUUAGAAUGUUAACAGAUCCUCCUCCCAUUUUGGAGAUGAGGAAACUGCACCUUGGCUGGUCUCUGCAGGGCGGGCAGUGAGCUGACAGGGUAGGGGCUGCAAGGCAGGUUUCUCGUUUCACAGUCCAAUACACUCCAGCAAGAAAAAAUGUUAAAAAGAUAAGGAAAAAAAAUGUUUUUAAUCUACGUGCAAAGGCAGCAUCCUGGUUUUAAAGGGUUGCUAGUGCCUUCAAGCGUGUGAGGUGCUUUCACUCACACCCUCUCAGCUGCCCUGACACUAACACAGGAUGCUGUUGAGCCCGCCCGGCCUGAUGUUGCAGAGGAGGGAACAGAGGUUGAUGAUUUGUCCGACGUGGCAAAACUGCUCAGAGGUGUGCUGACUCCAAACACUUCUCUUUCCGCUCUGCAUGUGGGUAUAAAAUAAUCUUGGGUUUUUUUUUUUUUAAAGAAAAAUAGU